GAUGAACGCUGGCGGCGUGCUUAACACAUGCAAGUCGAACGAAGCACUUUAUUUGAUUUCCUUCGGGACUGAUUAUUUUGUGACUGAGUGGCGGACGGGUGAGUAACGCGUGGGUAACCUGCCUUGUACAGGGGGAUAACAGUUGGAAACGGCUGCUAAUACCGCAUAAGCGCACAGCAUCGCAUGAUGCAGUGUGAAAAACUCCGGUGGUAUAAGAUGGACCCGCGUUGGAUUAGCUAGUUGGUGAGGUAACGGCCCACCAAGGCGACGAUCCAUAGCCGACCUGAGAGGGUGACCGGCCACAUUGGGACUGAGACACGGCCCAAACUCCUACGGGAGGCGGCAGUGGGGAAUAUUGCACAAUGGGCGAAAGCCUGAUGCAGCGACGCCGCGUGAGCGAAGAAGUAUUUCGGUAUGUAAAGCUCUAUCAGCAGGGAAGAUAAUGACGGUACCUGACUAAGAAGCACCGGCUAAAUACGUG
Molecule: ribosomal RNA, 481 nt
Filed under: uncultured bacterium
Lineage: Bacteria
Description: partial 16S ribosomal RNA
Rfam family: Bacterial small subunit ribosomal RNA
Source: RNAcentral